GGGGCUGAUUAGGAUUCGACAGGAUCUAGGAAGCCGGAGGUGCAUGCAGAGGAGCGGUUUGCCUCUUAAAAAGCCGCAUUUAAAUAGUCGCAAACGACGAAACUUACGCACUAGCCGCUUAAUAACCGGCAUAGGCCCUUCCACCCUAGUCUUUUCCUGCUAGCGGGGAUUCGGAAGGUCAUCCAAGUAGGAUAGCGAGGGAACCUUG
RNAcentral lists this transfer-messenger RNA (208 nucleotides) under Alteromonas macleodii. RNAcentral describes it as "partial transfer-messenger RNA". It matches the Rfam family "transfer-messenger RNA", at positions 1 to 219 of the family's 374-position model. From Rfam's summary of the family: Bacterial tmRNA, also known as 10Sa RNA or SsrA, is named for its dual tRNA and mRNA-like properties. Its role is to liberate the mRNA from a stalled ribosome. To accomplish this part of the tmRNA is used as a reading frame that ends in a translation stop signal. Lineage: Bacteria; Pseudomonadati; Pseudomonadota; Gammaproteobacteria; Alteromonadales; Alteromonadaceae. The record is from RNAcentral.